Molecule: ribosomal RNA, 501 nt
Filed under: uncultured bacterium
Lineage: Bacteria
Description: partial 16S ribosomal RNA
Rfam family: Bacterial small subunit ribosomal RNA
Source: RNAcentral
AUUGAACGCUGGCGGCAGGCUUAACACAUGCAAGUCGAGCGGGGGAAGGUAGCUUGCUACUGGACCUAGCGGCGGACGGGUGAGUAAUGCUUAGGAAUCUGCCUAUUAGUGGGGGACAACAUCUCGAAAGGGAUGCUAAUACCGCAUACGUCCUACGGGAGAAAGCAGGGGAUCUUCGGACCUUGCACUAAUAGAUGAGCCUAAGUCGGAUUAGCUAGUUGGUGGGGUAAAGGCCUACCAAGGCGACGAUCUGUAGCGGGCCUGAGAGGAUGAUCCGCCACACUGGGACUGAGACACGGCCCAGACUCCUACGGGAGGCAGCAGUGGGGAAUAUUGGACAAUGGGGGGAACCCUGAUCCAGCCAUGCCGCGUGUGUGAAGAAGGCCUUAUGGUUGUAAAGCACUUUAAGCGAGGAGGAGGCUCUUUUGGUUAAUACCCAAGAUGAGUGGACGUUACUCGCAGAAUAAGCACCGGCUAACUCUGUGCCAGCCGCCGCGGUAA